UCAGCGCUUCGUCCAGUGCCUCAGCGGUUGGAGAAACAGCGCGGGUCAGUGUAAAGAGCCCGGGCUUGGGAGUCAGAGGUCAUGAGUUCAAAUUCGGCCUCAGCCGCUUGUCCUCUGUGUGACUUUGGGCAAACCACUUCACUUCUCUGGGCCUCGGUGACCUCAUCUGUAAAAUGGAGAUGGAGACUGUGAGCCUCACGUGGGACAACCUGAUGACCUCGUAUCCCCCCACCCCGGGGCUUAGAACAGUGCUUGGUACAUAGUAAGCUCUUAACAAAUGGCAUCAUUAUUAUUACAGCGCCUGGCACGUAGUAGGCGCCGAACGUUAGGGUUGUUGUUGUUGUUACAAUGCAAAGGAGGAAGGGGGGGAGAAUGAGGAUGGGGUGGUACCGGGGGAGAAGAUGGAUAGGAGGUCGGCGGGGGGUGGGAGGGGGAGGCGGGGAAGAGGGAGGAGGAGGGGGGGAGGGAGGAGGGGGAGAGGGAGGAGGGGGAGGAGGGAAGAGGAGGGGGAGGAAGGGAGAAGGGAGGAGGAGGGGGAAGAGGAGGAGGGGGAGCAGGGAGGAGGAGGGGGAGGAAGAUGAGCGGGAGGAGGGGGAGGAGGAGGAGGGGGAGGAGGGAAGAGGAGGGGGGAAGGGGAGGAGGAGGGAGGAGGGGGAAGAGGAGGAGGAGAAGGAGGAAGAGGAGGAGGAGGAGGGGGACGAGGAGGAGGAGGAGGGGGAGAAGGGGGAGCAGGAGGAGGGGGGGGAGGAGGGGGAGGAGGCGGAGAAGGGGGAGGCUCCCGUGUCUUUCCGGGACGCCCCACUCUGAGGGACACACUGUGCGGGGCAGGCCGGGGGGCGAGCCCCGCACCCGUUUUCCGGGCAGCCCGCCUCCCCGCCUCUCACCCUCAGCUACACGCUGCGGCCCCGACCCCGUCCUGGCUCCUGGCUCCCGGGUCCAGAAGACACAAAAAGACAAUUCACGUGUCCGGAUUGCAGCCAAGACUUCCGGCGUGAGCAGAUCUGCCUCUCCCACAUUUGCUUCUUUCAUACCCAAGAGAAAAGUCCCUUCCCACAUUGGAACCUUUGGACCAGAGGGUCCUGAAGAGUGGGUCUCUAGAGAAGG
RNAcentral lists this long non-coding RNA (1104 nucleotides) under Ornithorhynchus anatinus (platypus). Its description in RNAcentral is "lncRNA (ENSOANG00000041630.1)". Lineage: Eukaryota; Metazoa; Chordata; Mammalia; Monotremata; Ornithorhynchidae. The record is from RNAcentral.